GACGAACGCUGGCGGCGUGCCUAAUACAUGCAAGUAGAACGAGUGGCGGACGGGUGAGUAAUGUCUGGGAAACUGCCUGAUGGAGGGGGAUAACUACUGGAAACGGUAACUAAUACCGCAUACCAUCAGAUGUGCCCAGAUUGGAUUAGCUCGUAGGUGAGGGAACGGCGCACCUAGGCGACGAUCCCUAGCUGGUCUGAGAGGCAGACCAGCCACACUGGAACUGAGACACGGUACAGACUCCUACGGGAGGCAGCAGUGGGGAAUAUUGCACAAUGGGCGCAAGCCUGAUGCAGCCAUGCCGCGUGUAUGAAGAAGGCCUUCGGGUUGUAAAGUACUUGCAGCGGGGAGGCGUUACCCGCAGAAGAAGCACCGGCUAACUCCGUGCCAGCAGCCGCGGUAAUUC
This 406-nucleotide ribosomal RNA is filed under the name uncultured bacterium. Its description in RNAcentral is "partial 16S ribosomal RNA". It matches the Rfam family "Bacterial small subunit ribosomal RNA", at positions 28 to 526 of the family's 1533-position model. The record is from RNAcentral.